CUGCAUGGCUGUCGUCAGCUCGUGUCGUGAGAUGUCCGGUUAAGUCCCGCUAACGAGCGCAACCCUCGCUGUGUGUUACAAGUGUCACACGGGAACUGCCGGUCAUAAACCGGAGGAAGGUGGGAUGACGUCAAGUCAGCAUGGCCUUUAUAUCCUGGGCUACACACACGCUACAAUGGGAAGGGACAAUAGGUUGCGAAGCCGCGAGGCGGAGCCAAUCCAGCAAAACUUCCCUCAGUUCAGAUUGCAGGCUGCAACCCGCCUGCAUGAAGUUGGAGUUGCUAGUAAACGCAGGUCAGCCAUACUGCGUUGAAUACGUUCCCGGGGCCUU
Molecule: ribosomal RNA, 331 nt
Filed under: uncultured Anaerolineaceae bacterium
Lineage: Bacteria; Bacillati; Chloroflexota; Anaerolineae; Anaerolineales; Anaerolineaceae
Description: bacterial SSU rRNA
Rfam family: Bacterial small subunit ribosomal RNA
Source: RNAcentral